AUCGAUCGUCUCUCGCCUCGAGCAGUCAUUGCUAAAACUGAGAAAACUCAACUCCAUAUCUGAUAUCUGAAACAGGGCUGGCAAAAGGGAUAGCCACAGAAGUUCCUCUUCCAUUGGGAAUUUAUUUGAAGAACACCUAUUUGAAGAAGAAAAAAGAAAAUCAAAAAAACAUCUAAACAAAAUACAAAGGCAAAACCAUAGAAAACUUUCCCAAAUAAAGUUCAACCUAACUAGAAGAAAAAAAAAAAAAUCAAAGUAAAAAUAUUUACACCUCACUCAGAUGGGAGUUGCCGCAACUCUAGCAAAAAAAAAGACUUACUGUCUCACAAAAGUAAAAAAUCUAUACAAAGGAAC
Molecule: long non-coding RNA, 354 nt
Filed under: Manihot esculenta (cassava)
Lineage: Eukaryota; Viridiplantae; Streptophyta; Magnoliopsida; Malpighiales; Euphorbiaceae
Description: long non-coding RNA (MESC_LNC004245)
Source: RNAcentral